UGGGGUGACUGCGUACCUUUUGUAUAAUGGGUCAGCGACUUAUAUUCUGUAGCAAGGUUAACCGAAUAGGGGAGCCGAAGGGAAACCGAGUCUUAACUGGGCGUUAAGUUGCAGGGUAUAGACCCGAAACCCGGUGAUCUAGCCAUGGGCAGGUUGAAGGUUGGGUAACACUAACUGGAGGACCGAACCGACUAAUGUUGAAAAAUUAGCGGAUGACUUGUGGCUGGGGGUGAAAGGCCAAUCAAACCGGGAGAUAGCUGGUUCUCCCCGAAAGCUAUUUAGGUAGCGCCUCGUGAAUUCAUCUCCGGGGGUAGAGCACUGUUUCGGCAAGGGGGUCAUCCCGACUUACCAACCCGAUGCAAACUGCGAAUACCGGAGAAUGUUAUCACGGGAGACACACGGCGGGUGCUAACGUCCGUCGUGAAGAGGGAAACAACCCAGACCGCCAGCUAAGGUCCCAAAGUCAUGGUUAAGUGGGAAACGAUGUGGGAAGGCCCAGACAGCCAGGAUGUUGGCUUAGAAGCAGCCAUCAUUUAAAGAAAGCGUAAUAGCUCACUGGUCGAGUCGGCCUGCGCGGAAGAUGUAACGGGGCUAAACCAUGCACCGAAGCUGCGGCAGCGACACUAUGUGUUGUUGGGUAGGGGAGCG
RNAcentral lists this ribosomal RNA (648 nucleotides) under Escherichia coli. RNAcentral's name for it is "partial 23S ribosomal RNA". It matches the Rfam family "Bacterial large subunit ribosomal RNA", at positions 589 to 1238 of the family's 2925-position model. Lineage: Bacteria; Pseudomonadati; Pseudomonadota; Gammaproteobacteria; Enterobacterales; Enterobacteriaceae. The record is from RNAcentral.